Podarcis lilfordi (Lilford's wall lizard) is the source of this 75-nucleotide non-coding RNA. NCBI's taxonomy places the organism in Eukaryota, Metazoa, Chordata, Lepidosauria, Squamata, Lacertidae. The record is from the annotation of a GenBank genome assembly.
GCUUGGUUAGCUCAGUUGGUUAGAGCAUGGUGCUGAUAGUUGCUAAGGUUGCAGGUUCGAGCCCUGUAUGGGACA